This is a long non-coding RNA of Mus musculus (house mouse), 5946 nucleotides long. RefSeq annotates it as predicted gene, 52428. The transcript is spliced from 2 exons. NCBI's taxonomy places the organism in Eukaryota, Metazoa, Chordata, Mammalia, Rodentia, Muridae. The record is from RefSeq and is a predicted model, not a curated record.
UAGCCAAAGUGCUGUUUGCCCACCACCGCAGAGCGUUAGCCCCGCCCACACAGCACUAAUUACUGCCUAGCUGGGCUUAUCUGGAGCAAGGAAAGGCUACAGAAGUCAGAAGGCUAACUUUCUUGUAGUUAAACUUGUAACAAAGAAUGGGAAGGGGACAUCAAGCCAGCUGCCAGCCGGCUGAGGAGAACAGAGCUCAGAGCGAGAGAGCUAGAAGGGGAGGGGCUACAGAGCGGGCCAGGAACACUUUGGAAAGAGGGAGAGAAAAGUAAAAGGCCAAGUUUUUGAACUCCAUCACUUACGGUCUCAGGAAACUUGGAGAUCUCCUGUAGGUCUCUGUGCGAAGCAUUCUUCAGCUGGUUCUGUCUCGCGUGGAUGGAGUAACCAUCGUUCUGCUACUAGUUGUUGGGAACAAAAUAAGAGGGGCCCUGGGGAGCCCCUGGGGAAGAAGGGGAAGGAAAAGGGGCUAAACGUCCGGCCAGAGUUCCUGUGUUCUGGGCAGGCGGACUCAGGCAGAGCUGCUGGACACUUUUCCACUUGGCCCCAGCUGAAGAGUUCUGAAUCCACGCCGGAUCCUUCUCAACAGUCUGUGUUGCGGGAACACUUCAUUACCACCGUUCCCCAGCUGAAGAGUUCUGAAUCCAUGCCGGAUCCUUCUCAACAGUCUGUGUUGCGGGAACACUUAUGACCGUGACCCGCAGUUCUGGUUCCGGAAUGAGGGAUCUUCCUUGUGCCGGUGAUGGUAACUCCCGGUUUUCUUGUCCCGGGUUUUCUCGUCCCAGGUUUCGGCACCAACUCUUACACGCGUUCGCAACCGGCCAGGAAAGAUGCAACAAACCAGAAUCUUCUGCGGCAAAGCUUUAUUGCUUACUCAGGAGCAAGAGAGGAAGAGCACGGCAGAGAGAGGCAGAGAGGAAGAGAGAGAGAGACGCAGAGAGAGAGGCAGAGAGAGAGAGAGAGAGAGGCAGAGAGCAGAGGAAGAGAGCAGAGGAAAAGACGAAGAGAAAGAGAUGAAGAGAGGAAGAGACGAAGAGACGAAGAGAGGGAGUGCCAGAACCCCGUCCCUUUUAAGGAGAAUUAUCCUCCGCCUAGGAUGUGUCAUUCCCUGAUUGGCUGCAGCCCAUCGGCCCAGUUGUCAUCACGAGAAAGGCAGAGCACAUGGCGGGGAAAACUGCCCCUGCAUAUGUGCAGAUUAUUUACUACUUAGAACACAGCUGUCAGCGCCAUCUUGUAAUGGCAAAUGUGAAUGCGGCUCCCCACACUUCCUUAGUUAUUGUAAGUGGUUGAUUAUUCAUUGAAGAUAAUUUAUGUAUCUCUAUUUCCAGUGUGUUCAUCUACUUUCUUGUUUCAAUGAUAAGACUGAUAACUUUCAAGCUGUUUACAUGCCAGCCUCCUGUAGAAGUUAUCUUGAAUUUAUUAAUACUUGUUAUAUUUAAUACAUGUGUUUUACUUAGAAAAAAAUAUAUUUACUGAAAUGUCACAUUAGCACAGCAUUCCCAUAUCCCCAUCAUUCAUUUUCUGGUUUUCCUAAUGUCAUUAUCUUAUCUUACUUUGUUUGUUGUCUUGCUGAGACAAAAUGACCUGACAAAAACAACUUCAGGGAACUUAGUUUAAAGGUACAUCCAACUAUAUGGUGCAAAAGUGAAAUUAACAGGAGCUACAAGAAGGUGGUCACAUUCACACCCUCAAUCAGCAAGAAGGUAGCAAUGUUGCAUGAUGCUAUUCAGCUCCCUAUCUCCAUAUAUAUAGGCCAGGAUCCAAGAUAGAUAUGGGUGCUACCUACUAUAUGCAGGUCCUCCCACUUCAAUUAAUGUAAUCAAAGAAACCCUUACAGAUAUUCCCAGAUGGAUUCUUAAAUCCAUCUCAGAGGUUAUUCUACAUUCUGUCAAGUUGACAAUUAACACUGAUCAUCACAACGUGUUAUAUUUAUCAAAACUGGGAGCCCAACAUUAAUAAUGCAUUACUAUCAAAUAAACAAACUCAAUCUUUUUCAAUGGUUAACAGUUUUUUUGUUUCAGAACUCAACCAAGAGUUCAACUCAGCCAAGAACUCAACUCAGCCAGAUUUGGGUAUGGAGAGCUGUGCUCUCAGGUGUGUCAGCACGCCUGGGAGAACAGCUCUCUCCCAGUGGGAUUUGGGUAUAGACAGAUGUGACACUGGGUGAGCUCCAGGUGCAGAUGGAAACUGGAAGUAGAUAACUAUGUUUAAUUGCCGUAUCUACUCACUUUCUUUGAUCUCUCACAAUUUCUAAGUCUUUCCUCAUUUCUUAUGAUCUUGAAACUCUGAAGGAAUAUAGUUCUCAUAUCAUGUGGAAUAAUCCUUUGGAUUUGUCAUUAUUCCUGAUUAUCCUGAGAUUGUGACUGGCUUCUCUGCUUAAUAAAAUACCACAAAGUUUACAUGCCUCCAUUAAAUCAUAUCAACAGUGAAGUUAUUCAUUACCACUCAGAGGAAUACAUACCAUAUUAUUCUAUUAAAAAGUUACAAUGUUUUGUCCUCCAUACUCCAUUAUUCAAAAGAAAGUUGCUAAGAACAGCCCAGCCCAAACUCAAAGAAAGGACUGAUCAUCACCAGAAAGAGAGGUGUUACUCAUACUAACAAAUUUUUCAAUAAAAUUCUUUCUUUCUUCUUUUCUUACAUUUUAUUUUUUAUUAGAUAUUUUCUUCAUUUACAUUUCAAAUGCUAUCCAGAAAGUCCCCUAUACCUUCCUCCCCCACCCUGCUCCCCAACCUACCCAGUCCCACUUCCUUGCCCUGGCAUUCCCCUGUACUGGGGCAUAUGAUCUUCACAAGACCAAGGACAUCUUCUCUCAUUGAUGGCCAACUAGGCCAUCCUCUGUUAAAUAUGCAACUAGAGACACAAGCUUCGGGGUGGGGCGGGGGUACUGGUUAGUUCAUAUUGUUAAUUCUCCUAUAGGGUUGCCGACCCCUUUAGUUCCUUGGGUAUUUUCUGUAGCUCCUUCUUUAGGGGCCCUGUGUUCCAUCCAAUAGAUGACUAUGAGCAUCCACUUGUGUAUUUGCCAGGCACUGGCAUAAACUCACAAGAGACAGCUAUAUCAGGGUGCUUUCAGCAAAAUUUUGCUGGCAUAUGCAAUAGUGUCUGGGUUUGGUGGUUGUAUAUGUGAUGGAUCCCCGGGUGGGGCAGUCUGUGGAUGGUCCUUCCUUCAGGCUCUGCUCCAAACUUUGUCUAUGUAACUCCUUCCAUGGAUAUUUUGCUCCCCAUUCUAAGAAGGAACAAAGGAUCCACAGUUUGGUCUUCCUUCUUCUUGAAUUUCAUGUGUUUUGCAAAUUGUAUCUUAGGUAGUCUAAGGUUCUGGGUUACUGUCCACUUAUCAGUGAGUGCAUAUAUUGUGUGUUCUUUUGUGAUUGGGUUACCUCACUCAGGAUGAUAUCCUCCAGAUCCAUACAUUUGCCUAAGAAUUUCAUAAAUUCAUUGUAUUUAAUUGCUAAGUAGUACUCCAUUGUGUAAAUGUACCACAUUUUCUGUAUCCAUUCCUCUGUUGAGGGGCAUCUGGGUUCUUUCCAGCUUCUGGCUAUUAUAAAUAAGGCUGCUAUGAACAUAGUGAAACAUGUGUCCUUAUUACAAGUUGGAAAAUCUUCUGGGUAUAUGCCCAGGAAAGGUAUUGCUGGAUCUUCCAGUAGUACUAUGUCCAAUUUUCUGAGGAACUGCCAGACUGAUUUCCAGAGUGGUUGUACAAGUUUGCAAUCCCACCAGCAUGGGGGAGUGUUCCUCUUUCUCCACAUCCUCACCAGCAUCUGCUGUCACCUGAAUUUUUGAUUUUAGCCAUUCUGACUGGUGUGAAGUGGAAUCUCAGAGUUGUUUUGAUUUGCAUCUCCCUGAUGAUUAAGGAUGUUGAACAUUUUUUCAGGUGCUUCUCAGCCAUUCGGUAUUCCUUGGCUGAGAAUUCUUUGUUUAGCUUUGUACCCCAUUUUUUUAUAGGUUUAUUUGAUUUUCUUGAGUCCAGCUUCUUGAGUUCAUCAUGUAUAUUGGAUAUUAGUCCCCUAUCAGAUUUAGGAUUCUUAAAGAUCCUCUCCCAAUCUGUUAGUUACCUUUUUGUCUUAUUGACAGUGUCUUUUGCUUUACGGAAGCUUUGCAGUUUUAUGAGGUCCCAUUUGUAGAUUAUCGAUCUUACAGCACAAGCUAUUGUUGUUCUGUUCAGCAUUUUUUCCCCCUGUGCCCAUAUCUUUGAGUCUUUUCCCCACUUUCUCCUCUAUAAGUUUCAGUGUCUCUGGUUUUAUGUGGAGUUCCCUGAUCCACUUAGACUUGAGCUUUGUACAAGGAGAUAAGAAUGGAUCAAUUUGCAUUCUUCUACAUGAUAACCGCCUGUUGUGUCAGCACCAUUUGUUGAAAUGGCUGUCUUUUUUCCACUGGAUGGAUUUAGCUCCCUUGUCAAAGAUCAAGUGACCAUAGGUAUGUGGGUUCAUUUCUGGGUCUUCAAUUCUAUUCCAUUGAUUUACCUGUCUGUUGCUGUACCAGUACCAUGCAGUAUUCUAUCAUAAUUGCUCUGUAAUACAUCUUGAGGUCAGGCAUGGUGAUUCCCCCAGAUGUUCUUUUAUUGUUGAGAAUAGUUUUUGCUCUCCUAGGUUUUUCUUUUUCCAGAUGUAUCUGCAAAUUGCCUUUUCUAACUGGGUGAAGAAUUGAGUUGGAAUUUUGAUGGGGAUUGUAUUGAAUCUGUAGAUUGCUUUCAGCAAGAUAGCCAUUUUGACAAUGUUAAUCCUGUCAAUCAAUGAGCAUGGGAGUUCUUUCCAUCUCCUGAGGUCUUCUUCAAAAAGCAGACUUAUUAGAAUUACACCAGACUUCUCACCAGAGACUAUGAAAGCCAGAAGAUCCUGAACAGAUGUUAUACAGACCCUAAGAGAACACAAAUGCCAGCCCAGGCUACUAUACCCAGCAAAACUCUCAAAUUACCAUAGAUGGAGAAACCAAAGUAUUCCAUGACAAAACCAAAUUCACACAAUAUCUUUCUACAAAUCCAGCCUGUCGAAGGAUAAUAAAGGGAAAACACCAACACAAGGACAGAAAUUAUACUUCUUUAUAAUAAAGUUAACUUUGCCUUCUUUUUUAUUCACUUACAAUUUCUCUCUGACUAAGAUUACAUCUUUUAUUAUUCAUAUAUUUAUGUGUCCAGUCUUGGCAGACAUGCAACUAGUAACCCAAUAAGAGAUGUUAGCUAGAUGGUGGAAGAGAACAUAUUUGUGGACUAGUUAAAUAAAACAUGAAAUUGGUACUUAUUAUGUAAAUCAGUAUUCAGUGGAGUCAUAAAAGUUUCAUUAAGCUAUGAAAUUUAACCUUGGUUAUAUAGAUUUUGAUCAUUUCCUAUCAAAACACAUUCUGGAAGAAAAAGUUACCAGUAUUAUUUGAUUUUGUAAUAGUCACGGGCAAUAAAAAUAGGACAUAAAUACUUUAUGCUUGUCAAAAUUUAUCUAUGUAGUAUCUAAAUAUUUUUAUUAGAUUAAUUGUUAUGUGUCUCUUUUUAAAAUAUUCUUUACUAUGUUAAAAUAUAUUACAUCCUUAUCAGAAAAGUAUGGUAGAUUUUGUUAAAGGCCUUUUUUGUGUCUAUUGAGAUGAUCAUAUAAUUUCUAUGCUUGAGAUCAUUGAUUUGAUGAAUUACAUUUAUUGAUUUACAUAUGUUUAACCAUCCUUGCAUGUCUGCAGUAAUGCCAUCUUGAUCACUCUCAAGUACUUUUGAAUUUCAUCUGCCAGCGUUUUAUUUCUUUUUGAAUUAUUUCAUUGGUUAUGUGUGUCUAUGCAUGGGGGGAGGUACAUGUCUUGUGGAACUCAAAGGACAAUUUGCAAGAGUUGUUUCUCUCCUUCCACCAUGCUGAUCAAAGAGAUUGAACUAAGGUCUUUGGGCUUGGAGACACAUGCCUUUGCCUUCUGAGCAAUCUCACCUGUACUGAUUUUCAAAUAUUUUAUCAAUAAAUGUUUCAUCUGUGUUCAUUAGGGAGA